UAAAUUUUGAUAUGUUAGAUUUCUUUGAAUCUAGAAUCGGUAGAAUCAAGCGGCUCACAAUUUGGACUCUCCGAUCUCAAGAUAUGAAUCUUUUGUCGAGAGUUCGCAAAGCUAUGAGAUCAACACGGACUAUACGUGUAGAUCAAUUUCGAAAAUUAAUUUCAGCUAAUACAAAAGGAGAUUCGUGCUGAUUUUUUUUAUAUGUUUCAGUCCUAUGAGUCUACUUUCGGUAGAAAUAAGCAGCUCAUGAUUUGAAGUUUCCUACAAUAAAAUAUAAAUUCUUUUUCUCAAGGGUACAAAGUUGGUUGACUGGUACUGCAAUUAAAAAAAGGCAUGACUGAUAUUCUUUCUGUUUUAGAGGGAGAAAUAAACGAAGAAAGAAGUGAAAGCAGACUACGAGCAACCGUGUUUAGCGUGAAAGAAACCCUAUGUUCACGACUCUCAUAUGUCAAGGUAAAAGAAAAAAAGAUCCCUUAUAUAGAUUGUUUAAGGUGGUGAAACUUUCCUUAUGGAAAAAGAAUUCUUCUUAAAAUAAAAUAGAAAAUUCUUUUUUAACUUGAAAGUUUUAAAUGGCAAAUAUUCAUUUGAAUGUAACUUUUGAGAAGUAUUUGAAUAAGCCAAAGAAAACGAAAAAUUUGCCGCUGUAAAGUCGGGGAAUAAGAAGUUGAUCGAGAUUGAAAAUUUCAAAGGAAUCCUUUCUCACAAGAAAAGGAUCAGGCCAAGUAGUUAAGUAAUACAAGGAAGGAGUCCAACAAUUUAGUAUUUUAAAAAAAUACUCGAAUAGUUAUUUCCAGCUUAGGUUGGCCAAAUACACGGGAGAAGUCAAGUUCUUUACCUUCUCACAUCAAUCCAAGAGAGGUGAUCAAGUUCCUUACAAAGACUCCAAUGUGGCAUUUGAAUCUUUAGCUAAGUGAAUGUACUUGGAUUGAUCAUACAAAUUAAUUUGUUGCACACAUGGAAUGUAAUUGGAUUCAUCCGUGCUUACUCAUUGUUUGAACAUACUAAUCAUCUCCCAAUGGGUACAUUAUUUAAUUAAGGAUUAUUUAAUUAAAUUAAGUACUUAUUCUGCCAAAGAUGGGAGUAGUUGGACGUGAGUACAAAUUCAUCAAUUUGUUUUAGGUGAGAAUGGUAUCAAACAAAUUGUCUGCACUUAAAACGAUGACAUGCACAUGUACUUCAAAUCUCGUCUCUAUGGUUCGUCAAUUCUACACCUCGACAAAUCUUGAAGUAGGGGAUAUCUGUAGACAUAUAAAAUUUAUUGGGUCUAAUCCAUACAAAGUUUUUGGAUUAAAUUUAAUUGGGUUAAAUAAUUAAUUUGGCUUUACAGGUUAAAUUAGUCAAUUUUAUUAUUUUCGAGUCCAAAGUUCAUUUCAUCUUAAAACCCAGACUCAUGCCAUGUGUCAAGUGACAUGACAUAUCUAGUCAAACUGCAAGCCAAAUAGAUGAUGCCGCGUGUUAAAUGAUGUGGCAAUUCAAGUCAAAAAGUAAGAACCAAUCACAGGUUCCCAAGUAGCUAAAAUAACAUGGGCCAAUCAGAAUCAAGCAAGAGAGUUCAUAUGUAGCUGGACUGUCCAUCCUCUACAACUACAAAUAGAGGGGUUACAUAACUCUCAAGACAUCCAGAAUUGGAGAAGAACAUUCCGCAAUUGGUGAAGGCAUCCACAAACAGAGAGAUCAAUCAUCAAGUGCAUAGUUCUUCAACAAAGGAGUGAUCAACAAAGUUCUUCCCGGAGAUCAACCUGUAACAACAAAGUGAUGCUCGACGUUCUUGGCGAUUAAAUACAUUACAAGGAGGUAUGCAUCGUCCUACAUUCGAGAAAGACGCUUCUCAAGCCCUCGAAUCACGAAGAGUUUUAGAGAGGAGAAUCCAGGGAUACAUAGAAUUGUACUCACAAAUAUUUAUCAAUAAAAUCUCUUUUUCUUCAUAUUAUUUUUGUUGCAGUUUAUUUUUCGGACUACAAAAAUUUGUUGCGAACAAAUACAAAGUUUAUU
RNAcentral lists this long non-coding RNA (1992 nucleotides) under Nicotiana tabacum (common tobacco). Its description in RNAcentral is "long non-coding RNA (NTAB_LNC012383)". The record is from RNAcentral. Lineage: Eukaryota; Viridiplantae; Streptophyta; Magnoliopsida; Solanales; Solanaceae.